This 568-nucleotide ribosomal RNA is filed under the name uncultured bacterium. Its description in RNAcentral is "partial 16S ribosomal RNA". It matches the Rfam family "Bacterial small subunit ribosomal RNA", at positions 355 to 935 of the family's 1533-position model. The record is from RNAcentral.
UGGGGAAUAUUGCACAAUGGGCGAAAGCCUGAUGCAGCGACGCCGCGUGAGGGAUGACGGCCUUCGGGUUGUAAACCUCUUUCAGCAGGGAAGAAGCGAAAGUGACGGUACCUGCAGAAGAAGCGCCGGCUAACUACGUGCCAGCAGCCGCGGUAAUACGUAGGGCGCAAGCGUUGUCCGGAAUUAUUGGGCGUAAAGAGCUCGUAGGCGGUUAGUCGCGUCUGCUGUGAAAACUCGAGGCUCAACCUCGGGCUUGCAGUGGGUACGGGCUGACUAGAGUGCGGUAGGGGGUGACUGGAAUUCCNUGGUGUAGCGGUGGAAUGCGCAGAUAUCAGGAGGAACACCGAUGGCGAAGGCAGGUCACUGGGCCGCAACUGACGCUGAGGAGCGAAAGCAUGGGGAGCGAACAGGAUUAGAUACCCUGGUAGUCCAUGCCGUAAACGUUGGGCACUAGGUGUGGGGUCCAUUCCACGGAUUCCGUGCCGCAGCAAAACGCAUUAAGUGCCCCGCCUGGGGAGUACGGCCGCAAGGCUAAAACUUAAAUGAAUUGACGGGGUCAUAGCUGUUU